Molecule: long non-coding RNA, 116 nt
Filed under: Cavia porcellus (domestic guinea pig)
Lineage: Eukaryota; Metazoa; Chordata; Mammalia; Rodentia; Caviidae
Description: lncRNA (ENSCPOG00000033281.1)
Source: RNAcentral
GCGAGCUGGGAGGUGUUCUGGCCUCUUUGAUGAACAAAGAGGCACUAUAGACACUGGACCCGAAGGCUCCAAAGGAUAUUCCUCCUCUAGCCAGCACGAUUCCUGGGAGAGCUUGC